GUGGGGAAUAUUCCGCAAUGGACGAAAGUCUGACGGAGCAACGCCGCGUGAGUGAUGAAGGUUUUCGGACUGUAAAGCUCUGUUGUUUAGGACGAAAGUGCCUGUUGCAAAUAGUUACAGGUAUUGACGGUACUGAACGAGGAAGCCACGGCUAACUACGUGCCAGCAGCCGCGGUAAUACGUAGGUGGCAAGCGUUGUCCGGAAUUAUUGGGCGUAAAGAGCAUGUAGGCGGGAAUCUAAGUCUGUUGUGAAAAUGCGGGGCUCAACCCCGUAUUGCGAUGGAAACUGGGUUUCUUGAGUGCAGGAGAGGAAAGGGGAAUUCCCAGUGUAGCGGUGAAAUGCGUAGAUAUUGGGAGGAACACCAGUGGCGAAGGCGCCUUUCUGGACUGUGUCUGACGCUGAGAUGCGAAAGCCAGGGUAGCGAACGGGAUUAGAAACACGGGUAGUCC
RNAcentral lists this ribosomal RNA (450 nucleotides) under uncultured bacterium. Its description in RNAcentral is "partial 16S ribosomal RNA". It matches the Rfam family "Bacterial small subunit ribosomal RNA", at positions 354 to 796 of the family's 1533-position model. The record is from RNAcentral.